UAGGGGCCGUUUAAAAAUUGGUCCAUGUAUUCGCUAAUCCUUGCAAACUAGUCUUGCAAUCAUUAAUCAUUUAAAAUUUCAUCAUUUGACCAACUUAAUCACUGCCACACAUAAAAUUCCAAUUCUGCCCUUAAGAAGAUGACAAAAUAUUGAAGAAAGAAUUGGAAACCUAGGGGUAAAAUUGGAAUUUCAUGUGUAACAGUGAUUGACACGUCAUCAAAUUCUUGACGUGGCAGUGAUUAAGUGGGGAGAGGGACGAAAUUUUAAAUGAUUAAACAAUGCAGUGGUGAAUUGUCAGGAUUAGCGAUUACAGGGACCAAUUUUUAAACGACCCCU
RNAcentral lists this microRNA precursor (336 nucleotides) under Medicago truncatula (barrel medic). RNAcentral's name for it is "miR2585b stem-loop (mtr-MIR2585b)". The record is from miRBase by way of RNAcentral. Lineage: Eukaryota; Viridiplantae; Streptophyta; Magnoliopsida; Fabales; Fabaceae.